ACUUGGUUCUCAAUGUUGUGAAGUCGUAGUUAACAUGGUGAUGAAAAAGGAUGCUAUUUUGCAACGCCCUUAUGGGAAUGUGAGGACCAUGGCGAAUGCUCUCGGGCGAUCUAUUGCAUGGCCUCGUAGAUAUGUAAAACUUCUUCCUGAUCAUGUCUAUUUCAGUAGUUUGUUUCUCAAAUUGCUUCAUAUUGACAAUUCUAUGUUUGCAGAUUGAGGUUGUUCGUAAAGUUAUGCAGAAGCAACCAUGACAGCCCAUAGCAGUCCCCACAUCUUGAAGGUAUUGCAUCUUAGAAUUCUGGAAUAUUUUACACCUAAAGAAAAGAUAUGUUUCUCUUUUCACAUACGGAUGACUUAUUAUUUUUCCGAAUGAAGCAUGUGAUUGAAAGUAGGAACCUACAAGUUCUUUAUUUUCUCCUGAGCUACUAGUACUUUCUAUGGCUUUCCUAGUAGAUAAAAAGUGUGCCAAAGAAUCAAGAAAUAGCUUGUUGCGAACGAGUGUUCUUUAAAAGGACAAAUUGACUAUAACCAGGAGAUAUAAUAUGGUCAUUUACUAUAUAACAGAAAGAGAGAAAAUAGGAGGGGAUCGCAGAUGGAUAUUCUUGUAGACAUCAAAGUCAAAUGCGAUCUCCCCAAAGAUUUCCCUCCGUUCUGUUUUAAAAAAAAAGAGGUCGGGACCUCUUUUCCAGAAACUGCAAAAAGACCAUGGUUUCUGGCAUACCGUGGUUUACAAAACUUCAGAUUUUUCUUAAGCCAAACGCAUCAAAGUAUUCAAAACCAUGGCUUUUUUCAUAAACCAUGGUAUUCUCAGGAAACUUGAAAAAAACUUUGCUGCCAAACGCAGCCUAAAUAGGACAAACAUGUACAAGAAAACAGAACGGUGGACACCCUGCAGUGCCACUGGAUUGCUACUAAUUGAUCCCUGCCUGCAGUUUUUGAAUGUUCUAUUUACUUAACAGCAAUCAAGAGAAAUUAUACUGCACCAAACAAGAUGGCUAUUGGUAUAUAUUUAUAGUGAUUGGUUACAUUGAUUUUCCUAGUGAUGCAUACACAGUGCACGAUCUCUUCUUAUGAGUACAUCCACACAUUCUGUCUGUGCCUUGUGGAAUGCAUACAGGGUGACACACAUGUGUCUCUUUCAUUUGGUUGAGUCGAUUUUCUUUUUCAGCCGAUGCAACUUAUAUGUUUGGAACAUGUGUUCUUCUGAGCUGAUCUAUUUGUCCAUUUCUUUUUUUACAGGUUACCGGCAUAAUGCCUUUGCAUCCACAAAUGCGGUGUGUUUGGUGAGCUAAAAGGAUCUUCUGCUGGGAUAUGUUUACACCUAAAACCAGAUUGUAUAUUUUGUGCUUUUGUCUAUGAUG
This 1361-nucleotide long non-coding RNA is filed under the name Triticum aestivum (bread wheat). RNAcentral's name for it is "long non-coding RNA (TAES_LNC002657)". The record is from RNAcentral. Lineage: Eukaryota; Viridiplantae; Streptophyta; Magnoliopsida; Poales; Poaceae.